RNAcentral lists this ribosomal RNA (253 nucleotides) under uncultured bacterium. RNAcentral's name for it is "partial 16S ribosomal RNA". It matches the Rfam family "Bacterial small subunit ribosomal RNA", at positions 524 to 776 of the family's 1533-position model. The record is from RNAcentral.
UACGUAGGGUGCGAGCGUUGUCCGGAAUUAUUGCGCGUAAAGAGCUCGUAGGCGGUUUGUUGCGUCGGCUGUGAAAUCCCGAGGCUCAACCUCGGGUCUGCAGUCGAUACGAGCAAACUAGAGUGUUGCAGGGGAGACUGGAAUUCCUGGUGUAGCGGUGAAAUGCGCAGAUAACAGGAGGAACACCGGUGGCGAAGGCGGGUCUCUGGGCAACAACUGACGCUGAGGAGCGAAAGCGUGGGGAGUGAACAGG